This 68-nucleotide transfer RNA is filed under the name Gammarus fossarum. Its description in RNAcentral is "tRNA-Val". The record is from RNAcentral. Lineage: Eukaryota; Metazoa; Arthropoda; Malacostraca; Amphipoda; Gammaridae.
GGAAAGUAUUUCUGAAGGUGGUUAAAAUUCUCAUUUACAUUGAGGAAUACCUUUUAAGGCACUUUCAU